UUCCGAGGCCACCCAUUCCAAC
RNAcentral lists this microRNA (22 nucleotides) under Cynara cardunculus (cardoon). RNAcentral describes it as "cca-miR6118-3p". The record is from miRBase by way of RNAcentral. Lineage: Eukaryota; Viridiplantae; Streptophyta; Magnoliopsida; Asterales; Asteraceae.